RNAcentral lists this ribosomal RNA (253 nucleotides) under uncultured bacterium. RNAcentral describes it as "partial 16S ribosomal RNA". It matches the Rfam family "Bacterial small subunit ribosomal RNA", at positions 524 to 776 of the family's 1533-position model. The record is from RNAcentral.
UACGUAGGGGGCAAGCGUUGUCCGGAAUCAUUGGGCGUAAAGAGCGUGUAGGCGGCUCGAUAAGUCUGCUGUGAAAGUCCAGGGCUCAACCCUGGAAUGCCGGUGGAUACUGUCGGGCUAGAGUCCGGAAGGGGCGAGUGGAAUUCCUGGUGUAGCGGUGAAAUGCGCAGAUAUCAGGAGGAACACCAAUGGCGAAGGCAGCUCGCUGGGACGGUACUGACGCUGAGACGCGAAAGCGUGGGGAGCAAACAGG